Tachysurus fulvidraco (yellow catfish) is the source of this 977-nucleotide long non-coding RNA. RefSeq lists it as uncharacterized. The record is from RefSeq and is a predicted model, not a curated record. The transcript is spliced from 8 exons. NCBI's taxonomy places the organism in Eukaryota, Metazoa, Chordata, Actinopteri, Siluriformes, Bagridae.
UGAGUUGUUUGGGAUGUGCUCUUGUGCACGAGACGGAUGUGAGUUAAUCCGAAAAGUUGCCAAAGGAGCUGCGUUGAGGUGUCGAUUAGGAUUUCAUUCGUUCUGUCGAAUUCGUCUCUUUCUUUUACUGUGAGCCGCUUUUAUAGUUCGCAUUAAGAUUUCCGUAAUAUUCGUUUUAGUAAGAUAUUUUCCCUUGCAAAAUAACUAGAGUGAAGUUAAUUAAACCUCGUGCUUCAGCUCCCAAACCACACUUCGGACCUCACGCGCGUGCAUUAAGUGACGAGAUGGAGCUCUCUUUAGUCGCACUGUUCUGUUUCUCCCACCUAGCGCCAGUUUUGGCAUCUACGAUGGAUGACGCUAACGAUUAUGACAGCCAGUUUCAUUACGACUACGAGUCAGUGCGGAUUGGAGGUUUGGUCUUCGCAGCCGUGCUCUUCUUCCUGGGGAUCUUUGUUAUCAUCAGCCGAAAAUGCCACUGCAGAGGAAGACAGGCCUCUUAAAGCUAUGGGAAUUUAAUCCAGAAGCAUCGUGAGCAUGUAUUACCACCCAGUAGGAGACAGCAGUGGGAUGGCGAAAGCUAAAAUGGAUCCUGUUUUCAUGUGUUCGCAUUUCCGGUUCAAUCAAAUCAUCUUCUUUAUCCAACGCUGCCAUCUCUCCCUCUCAGAUGUCUGAUCCCUAAGUUCUUAGUUGACAAUGUCUCUUAUUGCGUGGUAGCGGGUCGCAGCUGAUGAGGUCUUGCUUCUUGAUUAGUUCAUUCACUUCUUUUUCACCAAGACCCCUUGACAUUUCCUUAGACUUCUGUAGAUGAUAGUUCUGAAGUGUUAAGGCACAUUUCCCUUCAUAUUGUAGCAUUUUAUAUGUUUUUGUAAAUUCUUUUAAUUGUUUGCAAGACACUAAUUAGCUGUUGAGAUUAGACAUUGGGUUAAAUGAGUACAUGACUGACAGCUUUUCUAUCAAAUAAAUACGAUUAAAUGACA